GACGAACGCUGGCGGCGUGCCUAAUACAUGCAAGUAGGACGCACAGUUUAUACCGUAGCUUGCUACACCAUAGACUGUGAGUUGCGAACGGGUGAGUAACGCGUAGGUAACCUACCUAUUAGAGGGGGAUAACUAUUGGAAACGAUAGCUAAUACCGCAUAACAGUAUGUAACACAUGUUAGAUGCUUGAAAGAUGCAAUUGCAUCGCUAGUAGAUGGACCUGCGUUGUAUUAGCUAGUAGGUAGGGUAAAGGCCUACCUAGGCAACGAUACAUAGCCGACCUGAGAGGGUGAUCGGCCACACUGGGACUGAGACACGGCCCAGACUCCUACGGGAGGCAGCAGUAGGGAAUCUUCGGCAAUGGGGGGGACCCUGACCGAGCAACGCCGCGUGAGUGAAGAAGGUUUUCGGAUCGUAAAGCUCUGUUGUUAAGGAAGAACGAGUGUGAGAAUGGAAAGUUCAUGCUGUGACG
RNAcentral lists this ribosomal RNA (472 nucleotides) under Streptococcus anginosus. Its description in RNAcentral is "bacterial SSU rRNA". It matches the Rfam family "Bacterial small subunit ribosomal RNA", at positions 28 to 474 of the family's 1533-position model. The record is from RNAcentral. Lineage: Bacteria; Bacillati; Bacillota; Bacilli; Lactobacillales; Streptococcaceae.